AUGCAGGAAAGGGGUCCCCAGCCCUGGCUCAGGAUCCGGAUCCUAGACAGCUCGUCUAGGGCCUCGGGGGCGGAGCGCGUUCCGUUGACUCAGCGCGGAAAGUCCUCGUGGGCGGCCCGGGCGUGGGACAAGCGCCCGACUGACGUCCGCGCGGGGGCGACAGGGCUGACGCAGAGCGGCGGGGGAUUCCUGCUCCGCGGGGAGAGGUGCCCAUGGGCCACUGCAUCCUCUCCGGGCCCAGGGAUGACAGAGGCAGCAGAGCCAGCCUCUCCCUGGGGAUUAGGUCACCUCUGCAAAUGCGGCCUUGACUGGCUGGCUGGACCAGGGGAACAGUCCCACUCUGGCUGGGAGGAGAGCUGGAACAUCCUGGGACCACACAACAGCCACCACGGGGCCCAUCAGGAGCCCCAGCCAAUGCAGGUAGAGGCCAGGGGAAGGAGAAGCCUGGGAGCUGAGGCAGGAGGAACAGAGGGUGCUUGGCGUUAUCAGGAGGUGACCCGAGCUGACGUGGCUCUGUAGCCAGCAGGGAAGGUGGUCCUGACCCCAAAGUCCCAGGUGUGGGUUUUGUGAAGACAGGGGUGCACUUGGCCCUCCCCCCCAGGAGGCCCCCUCUCCCUGGUAGAGGCUGGUCUUCCAGACUUGGGGCACAAAGCUGGCCAGCGGGCUGCAGAGGAGGCACUGCUGAGCUUGACCCCUCAUGGAGAGCCCAUGAGACAAGCUGGGAGGGGACUCAGGGCUCCCGGGCCCCAGACACACAGUGACAAGUGCACUCCUGGCCUGAGGACUGCACACGCCAGCCACAGCAGCAGGAAGCUGAGGGGAGUGUGGGUGGGAAGGCUGUGAGUGACAGGACAGGUCAGUCCCCUCCCCGGGUCUGUACCCGGGGAGGCCUGGCCCUACUUCUCCGAGCCCCAGUCUCUGGCUCCCGGCUACACCUCCAGGGUGCUGGCCAGAGACCUGGCAGCGCUGCCCUCUAGAGGGACUGUGGCUCUGGCAUCUCUGGGGAAGGAGUGGCAGGUGGCCAGCGUGGGAAGACAGGCCCUGUGGUGCUCUAAUGCAGGGCAGGGGUCCCAGCAGCCCCUCCCACCAGUGGUGGAGCCUGCUGGGGUGGGGAGCAUAGGUGGGCGAGGCAGCAGGAGGGCGUAGGACUUGGCAGCGACCAUUUGGUGAGGUGAG
This 1176-nucleotide long non-coding RNA is filed under the name Sus scrofa (pig). RNAcentral's name for it is "lncRNA (ENSSSCG00050026870.1)". The record is from RNAcentral. Lineage: Eukaryota; Metazoa; Chordata; Mammalia; Artiodactyla; Suidae.